RNAcentral lists this ribosomal RNA (164 nucleotides) under uncultured Chlamydiales bacterium. RNAcentral's name for it is "partial 16S ribosomal RNA". It matches the Rfam family "Bacterial small subunit ribosomal RNA", at positions 347 to 504 of the family's 1533-position model. The record is from RNAcentral. Lineage: Bacteria; Pseudomonadati; Chlamydiota; Chlamydiia; Chlamydiales.
AGCUGCAGUCGAGAUCUUUCGCAAUGGGCGCAAGCCUGACGAAGCGACGCCGUGUGAGCGAAGAAGGCCUUCGGGUUGUAAAGCUCUUUCGCUAGGGAACAAGAGAGGUGGGAUAAUACCCURCYAAUUUGAUGGUACUUGGUAAAGAAGCACCGGCUAACUCC